AUCAGAAGUGCGAAUGCUGACAUAAGUAACGAUAAAGCGGGUGAAAAGCCCGCUCGCCGGAAGACCAAGGGUUCCUGUCCAACGUUAAUCGGGGCAGGGUGAGUCGACCCCUAAGGCGAGGCCGAAAGGCGUAGUCGAUGGGAAACAGGUUAAUAUUCCUGUACUUGGUGUUACUGCGAAGGGGGGACGGAGAAGGCUAUGUUGGCCGGGCGACGGUUGUCCCGGUUUAAGCGUGUAGGCUGGUUUUCCAGGCAAAUCCGGAAAAUCAAGGCUGAGGCGUGAUGACGAGGCACUACGGUGCUGAAGCGACAAAUGCCCUGCUUCCAGGAAAAGCCUCUAAGCAUCAGGUAACAUCAAAUCGUACCCCAAACCGACACAGGUGGUCAGGUAGAGAAUACCAAGGCGCUUGAGAGAACUCGGGUGAAGGAACUAGGCAAAAUGGUGCCGUAACUUCGGGAGAAGGCACGCUGAUAUGUAGGUGAAGCGACUUGCUCGUGGAGCUGAAAUCAGUCGAAGAUACCAGCUGGCUGCAACUGUUUAUUAAAAACACAGCACUGUGCAAACACGAAAGUGGACGUAUACGGUGUGACGCCUGCCCGGUGCCGGAAGGUUAAUUGAUGGGGUUAGCGGUAACGCGAAGCUCUUGAUCGAAGCCCCGGUAAACGGCGGCCGUAACUAUAACGGUCCUAAGGUAGCGAAAUUCCUUGUCGGGUAAGUUCCGACCUGCACGAAUGGCGUAAUGAUGGCCAGGCUGUCUCCACCCGAGACUCAGUGAAAUUGAACUCGCUGUGAAGAUGCAGUGUACCCGCGGCAAGACGGAAAGACCCCGUGAACCUUUACUAUAGCUUGACACUGAACAUUGAGCCUUGAUGUGUAGGAUAGGUGGGAGGCUUUGAAGUGUGGACGCCAGUCUGCAUGGAGCCGACCUUGAAAUACCACCCUUUAAUGUUUGAUGUUCUAACGUGGGCCCCUUACCGGGGUUGCGGACAGUGUCUGGUGGGUAGUUUGACUGGGGCGGUCUCCUCCUAAAGAGUAACGGAGGAGCACGAAGGUUGGCUAAUCCUGGUCGGACAUCAGGAGGUUAGUGCAAUGGCAUAAGCCAGCUUGACUGCGAGCGUGACGGCGCGAGCAGGUGCGAAAGCAGGUCAUAGUGAUCCGGUGGUUCUGAAUGGAAGGGCCAUCGCUCAACGGAUAAAAGGUACUCCGGGGAUAACAGGCUGAUACCGCCCAAGAGUUCAUAUCGACGGCGGUGUUUGGCACCUCGAUGUCGGCUCAUCACAUCCUGGGGCUGAAGUAGGUCCCAAGGGUAUGGCUGUUCGCCAUUUAAAGUGGUACGCGAGCUGGGUUUAGAACGUCGUGAGACAGUUCGGUCCCUAUCUGCCGUGGGCGCUGGAGAACUGAGGGGGGCUGCUCCUAGUACGAGAGGACCGGAGUGGACGCAUCACUGGUGUUCGGGUUGUCAUGCCAAUGGCACUGCCCGGUAGCUAAAUGCGGAAGAGAUAAGUGCUGAAAGCAUCUAAGCACGAAACUUGCCCCGAGAUGAGUUCUCCCUGACUCCUUGAGAGUCCUGAAGGAACGUUGAAGACGACGACGUUGAUAGGCCGGGUGUGUAAGCGCAGCGAUGCGUUGAGCUAACCGGUACUAAUGAACCGUGAGGCUUAACCUU
RNAcentral lists this ribosomal RNA (1666 nucleotides) under Escherichia coli. RNAcentral's name for it is "bacterial LSU rRNA". It matches the Rfam family "Bacterial large subunit ribosomal RNA", at positions 1281 to 2925 of the family's 2925-position model. The record is from RNAcentral. Lineage: Bacteria; Pseudomonadati; Pseudomonadota; Gammaproteobacteria; Enterobacterales; Enterobacteriaceae.